CAGCAGCCGCGGGAAUACGAAGGGGGCUAGCGUUGCUCGGAAUGACUGGGCGUAAAGGGCGCGUAGGCGGAGGCCAGGUAAGUCAGGUGUGAAAUCUCAGAGCUUAACUCUGAAACUGCGCUUGAUACUGCUUGGCUAGAGGAUCGGAGGGGGUAACGGAAUUUAUGGUGUAGCAGUGAAAUGCGUAGAUAUCAUAAGGAACACCGGUGGCGAAGGCGGUUACCUGGAAGAUUCCUGACUCUGAAACACGAAAGCCAGGGGAGCAAACGGGAUUAGAUACCCCGGUAGUCCCUGUCUCUUA
RNAcentral lists this ribosomal RNA (301 nucleotides) under uncultured bacterium. RNAcentral's name for it is "partial 16S ribosomal RNA". It matches the Rfam family "Bacterial small subunit ribosomal RNA", at positions 509 to 805 of the family's 1533-position model. The record is from RNAcentral.